Molecule: ribosomal RNA, 281 nt
Filed under: Acinetobacter baumannii
Lineage: Bacteria; Pseudomonadati; Pseudomonadota; Gammaproteobacteria; Moraxellales; Moraxellaceae
Description: partial 23S ribosomal RNA
Rfam family: Bacterial large subunit ribosomal RNA
Source: RNAcentral
GAGCUAGUAACAAGCAUUUGAGCUAACGAUGUCCGAAUGGGGGAACCCGGCCGCAUAAGCGGUCAUCAUAACGUGAAUACAUAGCGUUAUGAGGCAAACGAGGGGAACUGAAACAUCUAAGUNNUAGCGGCGAGCGAACGGGGAUUAGCCCUUAAGUCAGAGGGGUGUUAGUGGAAUGGUCUGGAAAGUCCAGCGGCACAGGGUGAUAGCCCCGUACACGAAAACUAACCUUUGAUGAAAACGAGUAAGGCGGGACACGUGAUAUCCUGUUUGAAUAUGAG